This 253-nucleotide ribosomal RNA is filed under the name uncultured bacterium. Its description in RNAcentral is "partial 16S ribosomal RNA". It matches the Rfam family "Bacterial small subunit ribosomal RNA", at positions 524 to 776 of the family's 1533-position model. The record is from RNAcentral.
UACGUAGGGUGCGAGCGUUAAUCGGAAUUACUGGGCGUAAAGUGUGCGCAGGCGGCCGCGCAAGUCGAGUGUGAAAGCCCCGGGCUCAACCUGGGAAUUGCAUUCGAGACUGCUCUGCUAGGGUGCGGAAGAGGGAAGCGGAAUUUCCGGUGUAGCGGUGAAAUGCGUAGAUAUCGGAAGGAACACCAGUGGCGAAAGCGGCUUCCUGGUCCAGCACCGACGUUCAGGCACGAAAGCGUGGGGAGCAAACAGG